This 510-nucleotide ribosomal RNA is filed under the name uncultured bacterium. RNAcentral's name for it is "bacterial SSU rRNA". It matches the Rfam family "Bacterial small subunit ribosomal RNA", at positions 18 to 518 of the family's 1533-position model. The record is from RNAcentral.
CUCGUGUCAGGAUGAACGCUAGCGAUAGGCCUAACACAUGCAAGUCGAGGGGCAGCACAUGAGUAGCAAUACGAUGGUGGCGACCGGCGCACGGGUGAGUAACACGUAUGCAACCUACCUUUAACAGGGGAAUAACCCGUUGAAAAACGGACUAAUACUCCAUAACACAGGGGUCCCGCAUGGGAAUAUUUGUUAAAGAUUAAUCGGUUGAAGAUGGGCAUGCGUUCCAUUAGCUUGUUGGUGAGGUAACGGCUCACCAAGGCCACGAUGGAUAGGGGAACUGAGAGGUUUAUCCCCCACACUGGAACUGAGACACGGUCCAGACUCCUACGGGAGGCAGCAGUGAGGAAUAUUGGUCAAUGGAGGCAACUCUGAACCAGCCAAGUCGCGUGAAGGAAUGAAGGUCUUAUGGAUUGUAAACUUCUUUUGCAAGGGAAUAAAGUGGGGGACGUGUCCUCCUUUGCAUGUACCUUGCGAAUAAGGAUCGGCUAACUCCGUGCCAGCAGCUGC